RNAcentral lists this ribosomal RNA (549 nucleotides) under uncultured bacterium. RNAcentral describes it as "partial 16S ribosomal RNA". It matches the Rfam family "Bacterial small subunit ribosomal RNA", at positions 355 to 896 of the family's 1533-position model. The record is from RNAcentral.
UGGGGAAUUUUGGACAAUGGGCGCAAGCCUGAUCCAGCCAUGCCGCGUGCGGGAAGAAGGCCUUCGGGUUGCAAUCAGCGUUUUGUCAGGGAAGAAAUCUUCUGAGUUAAUACCUCGGGAGGAUGACGGUACCUGAAGAAUAAGCACCGGCUAACUACGUGCCAGCAGCCGCGGUAAUACGUAGGGUGCAAGCGUUAAUCGGAAUUACUGGGCGUAAAGCGUGCGCAGGCGGUUUUGUAAGACAGAGGUGAAAUCCCCGGGCUCAACCUGGGAACUGCCUUUGUGACUGCAAGGCUUGAGUGCGGCAGAGGGGGAUGGAAUUCCGCGUGUAGCAGUGAAAUGCGUAGAUAUGCGGAGGAACACCGAUGGCGAAGGCAAUCCCCUGGGCCUGCACUGACGCUCAUGCACGAAAGCGUGGGGAGCAAACAGGAUUAGAUACCCUGGUAGUCCACGCCCUAAACGAUGUCAACUGGUUGUUGGGAAGGUUCCUUCUCAGUAACGUAGCUAACGCGUGAAGUUGACCGCCUGGGGAGUACGGCCGCAAGGUUG